This is a long non-coding RNA of Pleuronectes platessa (European plaice), 329 nucleotides long. RefSeq lists it as uncharacterized. The transcript is spliced from 3 exons. The record is from RefSeq and is a predicted model, not a curated record. NCBI's taxonomy places the organism in Eukaryota, Metazoa, Chordata, Actinopteri, Pleuronectiformes, Pleuronectidae.
GGAACAACAAGGAGUCGCAAUCUGAACCUCAUCCCUUGUCCCAAUGAGGGCUACAAUGUUAAAUAUUUAAAAGAUACACAAAUUGGUCAUGCAGUUCUUUUCAUUCGACCACUCCAAAGGAGCCUGGAUCUCGAGGCUGCAUGUCAACCAGAAAGCAUGGUUGGACCACCUGCUAAAUGCAUUUCUUGUGGAGAGGAGUUUUCUUUUUCAGAAAUAAAAGAUCACAGUGAUGAAUGCAUGAGGAGAUCCAGCAAUUGGCGAUGGUGUGACUCGCCAUUUCUUCUCAACCAUCAUGCACAAACUUCAGAAUGGUUUUGAGAUUAAUUUCG